RNAcentral lists this ribosomal RNA (307 nucleotides) under uncultured fungus. Its description in RNAcentral is "SSU rRNA". It matches the Rfam family "Eukaryotic small subunit ribosomal RNA", at positions 39 to 352 of the family's 1831-position model. The record is from RNAcentral. Lineage: Eukaryota; Fungi.
AAAGAUUAAGCCAUGCAUGUCUAAGUAUAAGCAAUUAUACAGCGAAACUGCGAAUGGCUCAUUAUAUAAGUUAUCGUUUAUUUGAUAGUACCUUACUACUUGGAUAACCGUGGUAAUUCUAGAGCUAAUACAUGCUAAAAAUCCCGACUUUGGAAGGGAUGUAUUUAUUAGAUUAAAAACCAAUGCCCUCUGGGCUCCUUGGUGAUUCAUGAUAACUCUCGAAUCGCACGGCCUUGCGCCGGCGAUGGUUCAUUCAAAUUUCUUCCCUAUCAACUUUCGAUGUUUGGGUAGUGGCCAAACAUGGUUG